RNAcentral lists this ribosomal RNA (253 nucleotides) under uncultured bacterium. Its description in RNAcentral is "partial 16S ribosomal RNA". It matches the Rfam family "Bacterial small subunit ribosomal RNA", at positions 524 to 776 of the family's 1533-position model. The record is from RNAcentral.
UACGGGGGGGGCAAGCGUUGUUCGGAAUUACUGGGUGUAAAGGGCUCGUAGGCGGCCAACUAAGUCAGACGUGAAAUCCCUCGGCUUAACCGGGGAACUGCGUCUGAUACUGGAUGGCUUGAGUUCGGGAGAGGGAUGCGGAAUUCCAGGUGUAGCGGUGAAAUGCGUAGAUAUCUGGAGGAACACCGGUGGCGAAGGCGGCAUCCUGGACCGAUACUGACGCUGAGGCGCGAAAGCUAGGGGAGCAAACGGG